RNAcentral lists this ribosomal RNA (1442 nucleotides) under uncultured organism. RNAcentral describes it as "SSU rRNA". It matches the Rfam family "Bacterial small subunit ribosomal RNA". The record is from RNAcentral.
CUUAACACAUGCAAGUCGAGGGGCAGCAUUUUAGUUUGCUUGCAAACUGAAGAUGGCGACCGGCGCACGGGUGAGUAACACGUAUCCAACCUGCCGAUAACUCCGGAAUAGCCUUUCGAAAGAAAGAUUAAUACCGGAUAGCAUACGAAUAUCGCAUGAUAUUUUUAUUAAAGAAUUUCGGUUAUCGAUGGGGAUGCGUUCCAUUAGUUUGUUGGCGGGGUAACGGCCCACCAAGACUACGAUGGAUAGGGGUUCUGAGAGGAAGGUCCCCCACAUUGGAACUGAGACACGGUCCAAACUCCUACGGGAGGCAGCAGUGAGGAAUAUUGGUCAAUGGGCGAGAGCCUGAACCAGCCAAGUAGCGUGAAGGAUGAAGGCUCUAUGGGUCGUAAACUUCUUUUAUAUGGGAAUAAAGUUUUCCACGUGUGGAAUUUUGUAUGUACCAUAUGAAUAAGGAUCGGCUAACUCCGUGCCAGCAGCCGCGGUAAUACGGAGGAUCCGAGCGUUAUCCGGAUUUAUUGGGUUUAAAGGGAGCGUAGGUGGAUUGUUAAGUCAGCUGUGAAAGUUUGCGGCUCAACCGUAAAAUUGCAGUUGAAACUGGCAGUCUUGAGUACAGUAGAGGUGGGCGGAAUUCGUGGUGUAGCGGUGAAAUGCUUAGAUAUCACGAAGAACUCCGAUUGCGAAGGCAGCUCACUAGACUGUCACUGACACUGAUGCUCGAAAGUGUGGGUAUCAAACAGGAUUAGAUACCCUGGUAGUCCACACAGUAAACGAUGAAUACUCGCUGUUUGCGAUAUACAGUAAGCGGCCAAGCGAAAGCAUUAAGUAUUCCACCUGGGGAGUACGCCGGCAACGGUGAAACUCAAAGGAAUUGACGGGGGCCCGCACAAGCGGAGGAACAUGUGGUUUAAUUCGAUGAUACGCGAGGAACCUUACCCGGGCUUAAAUUGCAACAGAAUAUAUUGGAAACAGUAUAGCCGUAAGGCUGUUGUGAAGGUGCUGCAUGGUUGUCGUCAGCUCGUGCCGUGAGGUGUCGGCUUAAGUGCCAUAACGAGCGCAACCCUUAUCUUUAGUUACUAACAGGUCAUGCUGAGGACUCUAGAGAGACUGCCGUCGUAAGAUGUGAGGAAGGUGGGGAUGACGUCAAAUCAGCACGGCCCUUACGUCCGGGGCUACACACGUGUUACAAUGGGGGGUACAGAAGGCGGCUACCUGGUGACAGGAUGCUAAUCCCAAAAACCUCUCUCAGUUCGGAUCGAAGUCUGCAACCCGACUUCGUGAAGCUGGAUUCGCUAGUAAUCGCGCAUCAGCCAUGGCGCGGUGAAUACGUUCCCGGGCCUUGUACACACCGCCCGUCAAGCCAUGAAAGCCGGGGGUACCUGAAGUACGUAACCGCAAGGAGCGUCCUAGGGUAAAACUGGUAAUUGGGGCUAAGUCAUAAC